Molecule: long non-coding RNA, 1358 nt
Organism: Acipenser ruthenus (sterlet)
Lineage: Eukaryota; Metazoa; Chordata; Actinopteri; Acipenseriformes; Acipenseridae
Exons: 3
Source: RefSeq, a predicted model, not a curated record
UUUAGUUUGUUUUGGUUUUUGGCGACUCGCAUGUGAGGAGGCUGGUAGAUGGCUACAUUCAGAUGCUCGAGGGUGACCUGCUCUUUGGAUACAGCAGCACUCCAGGCGCUUGUGCAGCUGCACUCCGUAAAGAGGUGCUGAACGAAACCCUGCCUGAAGAGCCGGACCUGGUGUGUCUUAUUGCACCAGGGAACAACCUCUCGAAAAAAAACAUCCAACAAGCAGGGAAGGAGUUUGCCAGCCUUAUCCCUUCAGCCCAGGGCACUGGAAUAAGGUAGUGGUAAUUGAUUUUCCAAACCGGCUGACAGUGGAGUUCCCGUAUCAAGACAUGUUGCUAGAAGAGUACCAUCGAGCUGCAGCCAGCAUGAAUGUAAGGUACCUCUCCACUGUAGAUCACUUCCCUGCAAGGAGCUCUGACCUGUGGUGCCGUGACGGGGUGCAUCUAAGUGAUGACCAUGGAAUGCCCAUCUUUGCCCAACUGAUCUGGAGUGCAGCUUACUUCAGCUGAAAGUUCCACAGGGGAUCAAGACCACCCCUGCUGCACCCAGACGUGCAUUCCGCAGAGUGACCCCACGGCUGGUGGUGAGAGGGACGCCAGCUGCACCACCACAGAGACGAGAUCCUUACUCGUGGGCUGAGGUGACAAGAGGACAGAGUGAGAAGAUGUCGAAUAGUAAUUGCAGACGGUUCCACUUUGUAAGUAUAACAUACAUUUUUUAAAUUCUUUGUACUCAGAUAUUGUAUUAACAAAGAUUUAUGUCGGUUGAAAUGUCGUUAAUUAUAAUUAAUGCUAAAAUAAAUUAAUUGAUUGGAUUACUAUGUAAUAUUUUUUUAUAAUAAAAACAUUCAUGUUAACUUGUGUUUUUGUGAUACAAAAGUUAAACUGCACACAUUCGUUUCAUCAGAAAAAAAAUCCAAUACUUAACAAUAACAGGAGAUAUAUUUGAUCAUCCUUUAAUUCUAGAGCUUUUACAUUUGUUGUGCUAUUUGUUUUUCUUGUUAUGUUUUUCAUGGUAAAUGCCAUCAAUAAAAAUGCUUAUCAGUAAUAUAUCCCAAGCACAAGGCCAAAGCAACAUUGGAGUGGCUCAAGAACAAAAAGGUGAAUGUCCUACAGUGGCCCAGUCAAGGUCCUGAUCUCAAUCCCACUGAGAAUCUGUGGCACUAUUUGAAAAUUGCGGUCCACAAGCGUCGUCCAACCAACCUGAACAACCUGGAGCAAAUCUGCCAAGAAGAAUGGGCCAAAAUCACUCCGACACUGUGUGCAAAGCUGGUACAUACUUACCCCAAAAGACUUAAAGCUGUUAUUGCAGCGAAAGGUGGCACUACCAAAUAUUAAUGUGUGGGGGUUGAAUACUUAU